This 432-nucleotide ribosomal RNA is filed under the name uncultured bacterium. RNAcentral's name for it is "bacterial SSU rRNA". It matches the Rfam family "Bacterial small subunit ribosomal RNA", at positions 335 to 762 of the family's 1533-position model. The record is from RNAcentral.
ACUCCUACGGGAGGCAGCAGUGAGGAAUAUUGGUCAAUGGAGGGAACUCUGAACCAGCCAUCCCGCGUGUAGGAAGACGGCCUUAUGGGUUGUAAACUACUUUUAUACAGGAAGAAACGUACCCUCGUGAGGGUGCCUGACGGUACUGUAGGAAUAAGCACCGGCUAACUCCGUGCCAGCAGCCGCGGUAAUACGGAGGGGUGCGAGCGUUAUCCGGAUUUAUUGGGGUUUAAAGGGUCCGUAGGCGGAUUAAUAAGUCAGUGGUGAAAUCCCAUCGCUUAACGAUGGAACUGCCAUUGAUACUGUUAGUCUUGAAUGAGGGUGCAGUGGUUGGAAUGUGUAGUGUAGCGGUGAAAUGCAUAGAUAUUACACAGAACACCGAUUGCGAAGGCAGAUCACUAACCCUAAAUUGACGCUGAGGGACGAAAGCGU